This 253-nucleotide ribosomal RNA is filed under the name uncultured bacterium. RNAcentral's name for it is "partial 16S ribosomal RNA". It matches the Rfam family "Bacterial small subunit ribosomal RNA", at positions 524 to 776 of the family's 1533-position model. The record is from RNAcentral.
UACGUAGGGGGCAAGCGUUGUCCGGAAUCAUUGGGCGUAAAGCGCGUGUAGGCGGCCCGGUAAGUCCGCUGUGAAAGUCCAGGGCUCAACCCUGGGAUGCCGGUGGAUACUGUCGGGCUCGAGUCCGGAAGAGGUGAGUGGAAUUCCUGGUGUAGCGGUGAAAUGCGCAGAUAUCAGGAGGAACACCAAUGGCGAAGGCAGCUCGCUGGGACGUGACUGACGCUGAGACGCGAAAGCGUGGGGAGCAAACAGG